CCUAAGACAUGCAAGUCGAACGAGAUGGCCCAGUGAAGGUUGCGUGCUUGCACAAGACUGAAUCUGGAUCACCAUCUAGUGGCAGACGGGUGAGUAACACGUGGGUGACCUACCUUUCGUUGGGGAUAACAGUUGGAAACGAUUGCUAAUACCGAAUAAAAUAUAAGAGCCAAUUUUAUAUUGAAAGGAGCCUUUAAAGCUUCGCGAUUAGAUGGGCCUGCGGCGUAUUAACUUGUUGGUGAGGUAACGGCUCACCAAGGUAACGAUGCGUAGCCGAACUGAGAGGUUGAUCGGCCACACUGGGACUGAGACACGGCCCAGACUCCUACGGGAGACAGCAGUUAGGAAUAUUCGUCAAUGGGGGAAACCCUGAACGAGCAAUGCCGCGUGAGUGAUGACGGCCUUCGGGUUGUAAAGCUCUGUGAUCGGGGACGAAUGGCUGGUAUGCUAAUACCAUAUCAGAGUGACGGUACCCGAAUAGCAAGCCACGGCUAACUACGUG
Molecule: ribosomal RNA, 502 nt
Filed under: uncultured bacterium
Lineage: Bacteria
Description: bacterial SSU rRNA
Rfam family: Bacterial small subunit ribosomal RNA
Source: RNAcentral